AUGAACGCUGGCGGCGUGCCUAAUACAUGCAAGUCGAGCGAACAGACGAGGAGCUUGCUCCUCUGACGUUAGCGGCGGACGGGUGAGUAACACGUGGAUAACCUACCUAUAAGACUGGGAUAACUUCGGGAAACCGGAGCUAAUACCGGAUAAUAUAUUGAACCGCAUGGUUCAAUAUUGAAAGACGGUUUUGCUGUCACUUAUAGAUGGAUCCGCGCCGCAUUAGCUAGUUGGUAAGGUAACGGCUUACCAAGGCGACGAUGCGUAGCCGACCUGAGAGGGUGAUCGGCCACACUGGAACUGAGACACGGUCCAGACUCCUACGGGAGGCAGCAGUAGGGAAUCUUCCGCAAUGGGCGAAAGCCUGACGGAGCAACGCCGCGUGAGUGAUGAAGGUCUUCGGAUCGUAAAACUCUGUUAUUAGGGAAGAACAAAUGUGUAAGUAACUAUGCACGUCUUGACGGUACCUAAUCAGAAAGCCACGGCUAACUACGUG
RNAcentral lists this ribosomal RNA (496 nucleotides) under uncultured bacterium. RNAcentral describes it as "partial 16S ribosomal RNA". It matches the Rfam family "Bacterial small subunit ribosomal RNA", at positions 29 to 507 of the family's 1533-position model. The record is from RNAcentral.